UCGAGGAUCUUCGGCAAUGGGCGCAAGCCUGACCGAGCGACGCCGCGUGCGGGAUGAAGGCCUUCGGGUUGUAAACCGCUGUCAGAGGGGAGGAAAUGCCGGGAAGUAAUUCAUAAUCAACCCGGUUUGACCUAUCCUCAGAGGAAGGACGGGCUAAGUUCGUGCCAGCAGCCGCGGUAAUACGAACCGUCCAAACGUGAUUCGGAAUCACUGGGCUUAAAGGGUGCGUAGGCGGCUCGAAAAGUUGGGUGUGAAAGCCCUCGGCUCAACCGAGGAAUUGCGCCCAAAACUGCCGGGCUUGAGGGAGACAGAGGUGAGCGGAACUUAGGGUGGAGCGGUGAAAUGCGUUGAUAUCCUAAGGAACACCAGUAGCGUAAGCGGCUCACUGGGUCUCUUCUGACGCUGAGGCACGAAAGCUAGGGGAGCGAAGA
RNAcentral lists this ribosomal RNA (431 nucleotides) under uncultured prokaryote. RNAcentral's name for it is "bacterial SSU rRNA". It matches the Rfam family "Bacterial small subunit ribosomal RNA", at positions 355 to 774 of the family's 1533-position model. The record is from RNAcentral.